UGACCUCAACCUCAUAGAGAUCUGCCUUA
This 29-nucleotide non-coding RNA is filed under the name Mus musculus (house mouse). Lineage: Eukaryota; Metazoa; Chordata; Mammalia; Rodentia; Muridae. The record is from RNAcentral.